GACGAACGCUGGCGGCGUGCUUAACACAUGCAAGUCGAACGGUAAGGCCCUUCGGGGUACACGAGUGGCGAACGGGUGAGUAACACGUGGGUGAUCUGCCCUGCACUUCGGGAUAAGCCUGGGAAACUGGGUCUAAUACCGGAUAGGACCACUGCCUGCAUGGGUGGUGGUGGAAAGCUUUUGCGGUGUGGGAUGGGCCCGCGGCCUAUCAGCUUGUUGGUGGGGUGAUGGCCUACCAAGGCGACGACGGGUAGCCGGCCUGAGAGGGUGACCGGCCACAGUGGGACUGAGAUACGGCCCAGACUCCUACGGGGGGCAGCAGUGGGGAAUAUUGCACAAUGGGCGCAAGCCUGAUGCAGCGACGCCGCGUGAGGGAUGACGGCCUUCGGGUUGUAAACCUCUUUCAGCACCGACGAAGCGCAAGUGACGGUAGGUGCAGAAGAAGGACCGGCCAACUACGUGCCAGCCGCCGCAGUAA
RNAcentral lists this ribosomal RNA (478 nucleotides) under uncultured bacterium. RNAcentral's name for it is "partial 16S ribosomal RNA". It matches the Rfam family "Bacterial small subunit ribosomal RNA", at positions 28 to 523 of the family's 1533-position model. The record is from RNAcentral.